GAUUGUAGUCUGCAACCCGACUACAUGAAGCUGGAAUCGCUAGUAAUCGCGAAUCAGCAUGUCGCGGUGAAUACGUUCCCGGGUCUUGUACACACCGCCCGUCCACACCAUGGGAGUUGGUAACGCCCGAAGCCAGUGACCCAACCGCAAGGAGGGAGCAGCCGAAGGCAGGUCGGAUGACUGGGGUGAAGUCGUAACAAGGUAGC
RNAcentral lists this ribosomal RNA (206 nucleotides) under uncultured bacterium. Its description in RNAcentral is "partial 16S ribosomal RNA". It matches the Rfam family "Bacterial small subunit ribosomal RNA", at positions 1296 to 1500 of the family's 1533-position model. The record is from RNAcentral.